UUACGAGUGCGCUCCGAUGAGUUUCAUUGUGGAGCAGGCUGGCGGGAAGGGAUCGGACGGCCACCAAAGGAUUCUCGACAUCAAGCCUGAAGAGGUAAGCUACCGUUACUUUUGUUGUAGUUCAUCUCGUUCUGUCUGAAACCAGAGAAUAAAUAUAGCUUAGAACAGUUAGUAUGCACACCGGGCUAAUACGGCGAAAUACAAAUCUUUGAUUUUACUAGAUCCAUCAAAGAGUUCCACUAUUCAUCGGAAGCGUUGAAGAAGUCGAGAAGUUGGAGAAGUUCUUGGCAUGAUCCUUUUGUACGGAAGGCCGGUUAGCCUCACAUAGGACUAUAUUUUGGAAGCCUUCCGCACA
Molecule: long non-coding RNA, 355 nt
Filed under: Ananas comosus (pineapple)
Lineage: Eukaryota; Viridiplantae; Streptophyta; Magnoliopsida; Poales; Bromeliaceae
Description: long non-coding RNA (ACOM_LNC007995)
Source: RNAcentral